UUUCUAGCCCAGAUCAGCACAGAGAGCCAGCCAAAGGCCUCCAGGGACUCAGCAGCGAUCCAGCUAGGAAGGCACAUCUUUCCAGCAUGAAGACUGAGCUGGGGCUUAUGGCUAAGUACAGAGCAAGGAACAGGUAUGGGGAAUUCCAACUAAACUUGUGCCCAAGCUGCUCUGGUUUUGAGGCUAUGCGCGUGGAUGUUUUGGAGUCAUUUUCUUCGGAGCUUGUACUCUGAGCGUCUCUAUCGCCACAGCAGCCUUGCAUGGGAAUGUGCUCAUCACACAUGAGAAAAGGAAAGGCAGAAAUUACUUUCACUGAAGAGAAGAUGAAACAGUAGUGACUAAUUUCUGG
Phascolarctos cinereus (koala) is the source of this 349-nucleotide non-coding RNA. NCBI's taxonomy places the organism in Eukaryota, Metazoa, Chordata, Mammalia, Diprotodontia, Phascolarctidae. The record is from RefSeq and is a predicted model, not a curated record.